CUACGGGCCGCUCCAGUGAGGAAUAUUGCACAAUGGGGGGAACCCUGAUGCAGCAACGCCGCGUGGAGGAUGACGCAUUUCGGUGUGUAAACUCCUUUUAUAUGUCAAGAAAAUGACGGUAGCAUAUGAAUAAGCACCGGCUAACUCCGUGCCAGCAGCCGCGGUAAUACGGAGGGUGCAAGCGUUACUCGGAAUCACUGGGCGUAAAGGACGCGUAGGAGGGUUGGAAAGUCAGGUGUGAAAUCCUACAGCUUAACUGUAGAACUGCACUUGAAACUUCUAAUCUAGAGUAUGGGAGGGGGAGAUGGAAUUAGUGGUGUAGGGGUAAAAUCCGUAGAUAUCACUAGGAAUACCUAAAGCGAAGGCGAUCUCCUGGAACAUAACUGACGCUAAGGCGUGAAAGCGUGGGGAGCAAACAGGAUUAGAUACCCGUGUAGUC
RNAcentral lists this ribosomal RNA (439 nucleotides) under uncultured bacterium. RNAcentral describes it as "partial 16S ribosomal RNA". It matches the Rfam family "Bacterial small subunit ribosomal RNA", at positions 339 to 795 of the family's 1533-position model. The record is from RNAcentral.